GCCUUCGUCGGUGGCGUAGUGGUUAGCACUCGCUUCCCGAAAGAGUGAGACGUGGGUUGGAUUCCCGCCUGAGGCU
This is a non-coding RNA of Parelaphostrongylus tenuis, 76 nucleotides long. Lineage: Eukaryota; Metazoa; Nematoda; Chromadorea; Rhabditida; Metastrongylidae. The record is from the annotation of a GenBank genome assembly.